Molecule: ribosomal RNA, 780 nt
Filed under: uncultured bacterium
Lineage: Bacteria
Description: bacterial SSU rRNA
Rfam family: Bacterial small subunit ribosomal RNA
Source: RNAcentral
AUGCAGUCGUACGAGAAAGUUGGCUUCGGCCGAUGAGUAAAGUGGCGCACGGGUGAGUAACGCGUGGAUAAUCUACCUUUUAGUUUGGAAUAACGUACCGAAAGGUGCGCUAAUACCGGAUAAUACUGAGUGACUACUGUUGCUUAGUCAAAGAAGGCUUCUGUUUACAUGCUUUUGCUGAAAGAUGAGUCCGCGUACCAUUAGCUAGUUGGUAGGGUAAUGGCCUACCAAGGCUACGAUGGUUAGCUGGUCUGAGAGGAUGAUCAGCCACACUGGAACUGAGACACGGUCCAGACUCCUACGGGAGGCAGCAGUGAGGAAUAUUGCGCAAUGGGGGCAACCCUGACGCAGCAACGCCGCGUGAGUGAGGAAGGUUUUCGGACCGUAAAGCUCUGUCGAGCGGGAAGAAAUGCAUGGUGGCUAAUAUCCAUCAUGCUUGACGGUACCGCUAAAGGAAGCACCGGCUAACUCCGUGCCAGCAGCCGCGGUAAUACGGGGGGUGCAAGCGUUGUUCGGAAUUAUUGGGCGUAAAGAGCGUGUAGGCGGCUGAAUAAGUCAGAUGUGAAAUCCCUGGGCUUAACCCAGGACGUGCAUUUGAAACUAUUCAGCUUGAGUAGGGGAGAGGAAAGUGGAAUUCCUGGUGUAGAGGUGAAAUUCGUAGAUAUCAGGAGGAACACCGGUGGCGAAGGCGACUUUCUGGCCCUAUACUGACGCUGAGACGCGAGAGCGUAGGUAGCAAACAGGAUUAGAUACCCUGCUAGUCCACGCUGUAAACGAUGU